This is a non-coding RNA of Phoenix dactylifera (date palm), 1867 nucleotides long. Lineage: Eukaryota; Viridiplantae; Streptophyta; Magnoliopsida; Arecales; Arecaceae. The record is from RefSeq and is a predicted model, not a curated record.
GGCGACACGAAGUGGGACCAGUAACGAGGAAGAUCAAGAUCGCAUUUUGGAUUUCUGGAGUAAACGAACUCCGGCCGUCGGGUCGAACCCAUCAUUUAUCUGGCUCAUAACCAUGAAGACUGAUCACGCUAGAGCACACGUGGCGGCCAUCCCGAGUGACACAUGCCUAUAUGCCAAAGUACAUGGGAUUUCAAAAGGAUGAUCAUGAACUCUUGGAUGACGGGAUUACUUUGCAAACAAAUUAUCCAUCUAAUCCUUCCACGUAUCAGAGUUCCCUCAAGUUCCUUUCUCAGGCGGGAUAAGCCUUCCGAAACGCUCAGAUUUCAUCCCGUUCGGAACGGAGUCCCACCACCCAUGGAUAAAGCCCAGGCUUCCGCUCAUCUCAUGCAUUUCCUCCGCGUGUCUUCCCUCCUGUCCGCGAUUCAAGGAUCAGCUCCCAGUUCCCCUGUUCCGAGUUCAUCUUUAUCUCACGGAUCAACCAUGAGCCAAAUCCAAACUCCCUUCAUCCAUGCGUUCUAGCCGUCCGUGAGAUUUGCCCCAAUGUCAAGAUCAAAUCUCUUCCCGGUUAUGAACGAAUCCCAGCAUCCCAUCAACCUCCGAGAUCCUCUCAUGUCUCCAUUUCAGCGUCAUCCUCUCCCCAUUCCGUGGAUCACGUCCCAGCCAUUUUCCGAACCAACCCAGUGUUCCGGAUUGAUCCUUAUCCAGCUUCCUCCCGCGAUACAUGCCAAGCAAACAAUCUUCUGAGCGCGUCCACUUCUUCCGGCAUCUUCUCUCAACCGUGAACAUUAUCCCCUGCAUCCAAGGAUCAAGCCAAAUUCUCCAGCCGCCCCCUCAAGGAUCCAAAUCAAAGCCUUCCGGAUCCCCUGCAUCCCAGAACAGAGUCUAACCUCUCCCAAAAUUAAGCAUCUCAUGUUCAUCUUUCCAUCGGAUCUCCAUCCUGUUUGCAUGCUGUUCCCAGUUCCGCAUCCAAAGCUCCUUCCAAGUCAUCCCUUUCUUCCCCUGUUUCGAAACAGAGCCGCAUGAUCCACGGAUAAACCCAAAUCCCAGCAUCUCCCCCGCUCAAAUGAUCCCAACCGAAUCCACACGUUCUUCCCCUCGCGCCUGUGUUCAUCUUCCACGCGUCCGGAUCAACUCCAUCCAGCAGCGUCGGGUUCCCCUGCUUCAAAACAAAAUCCCCUGCAUUCCCAAUCGAGUCCUCUCCGCGUACCCUCCGAGUAUCUCUCCUCUUCCGAAUCAAGCCAACUUCUUCCGGAUUCAUCCCAAACUCCUUCUGGAUUUUCUCAGCCGUCCCAGUUCCUUCCACGUCUGGGUACUCCGCUCUCAUCCCCUGCAUCCACGUCAGCAGCCUCUACCCUUUCUCUCGUUCAUGGAUUGAUUCCAACCAGCAGAAUCUCAGCAACGUAUCAACUUCCCGUGAUCAGCUCUCGCAUGAAUCCCAUGUUCUUAUCUCCCUUGCUUCAGAACAGCCACAGGAGGUAAAAACAGUGGGCUGGGGAGGCUAUAAAAGGGAGAGAUUUCUCCUCUUCGUGGCAAUCUUCUCUCAGGCCAAAUCCCAUAGAGUAAAAGGAGGAAGAAUACUUUGGGGUAUUCUGGGAAGAACUUCCCACAGAAAGAAAAAAAAAUGAAGUGCUAGAGAGGGGAGUUGCGACGGGAGAGGAAAGAGCCGAAGGAAGAAAGAAAGAAGUUCUGGUCGCGAUGGAAGCUCUUCGCGCUGCUGCUGUCGUCCACAACUAUAUGCUGGGCUGAUCUCCUCACUAGGGCUGGAUGAAGCUGUAACAGAGAAAUAAGGAUUUUUGUAUCUUUAAUUUUUGUUCUUGGAGUUGUAUGAAUCCUCUUACUCUUAAAUGAAUAUUUUUCUUUCAUCUCA